CAAAAACAGCUCUUCAAGAAUUUUUCUAACAAGAUUUCUGACUUGGUCAGAAAUCCCAA
Rattus norvegicus (Norway rat) is the source of this 59-nucleotide small nuclear RNA. Ensembl annotates it as U7 small nuclear RNA. NCBI's taxonomy places the organism in Eukaryota, Metazoa, Chordata, Mammalia, Rodentia, Muridae. The record is from Ensembl.